AUUUUUUCUUGUUUUGGAUGAUUGAAAGGAAUACUAAUGUGUUGGUGCAAAAUUCAUUUCAGAAAUGCUAUUAUUUCCUUGGACAAUCUCUUUGAAUCAUGUGAAGUUUUGAUAUUUGUCUUAAAAUAUUUUGGUUAUGUGCUGUGGAUGGAAAUUGAGGUAGUCCUGAUGGAUUUAUGCUGUUUAUGUAUUAGUCAACAGUAAACACAGUUUGAAUGUAAAUGUUUAAUCGGGUUUUUGAAUUGAAAUAUGUUGCUAG
This 259-nucleotide unclassified non-coding RNA is filed under the name Hevea brasiliensis (rubber tree). Lineage: Eukaryota; Viridiplantae; Streptophyta; Magnoliopsida; Malpighiales; Euphorbiaceae. The record is from RNAcentral.